UUGUUUUUCAGGGAUUCCAAUAUCUUGUU
This 29-nucleotide non-coding RNA is filed under the name Mus musculus (house mouse). The record is from RNAcentral. Lineage: Eukaryota; Metazoa; Chordata; Mammalia; Rodentia; Muridae.